This 1396-nucleotide ribosomal RNA is filed under the name Mammaliicoccus sciuri. RNAcentral describes it as "bacterial SSU rRNA". It matches the Rfam family "Bacterial small subunit ribosomal RNA". Lineage: Bacteria; Bacillati; Bacillota; Bacilli; Caryophanales; Staphylococcaceae. The record is from RNAcentral.
UUCUCUGAUGUUAGCGGCGGACGGGUGAGUAACACGUGGGUAACCUACCUAUAAGACUGGGAUAACUCCGGGAAACCGGGGCUAAUACCGGAUAAUAUUUUGAACCGCAUGGUUCAAUAGUGAAAGACGGUUUCGGCUGUCACUUAUAGAUGGACCCGCGCCGUAUUAGCUAGUUGGUAAGGUAACGGCUUACCAAGGCGACGAUACGUAGCCGACCUGAGAGGGUGAUCGGCCACACUGGAACUGAGACACGGUCCAGACUCCUACGGGAGGCAGCAGUAGGGAAUCUUCCGCAAUGGGCGAAAGCCUGACGGAGCAACGCCGCGUGAGUGAUGAAGGUCUUCGGAUCGUAAAACUCUGUUGUUAGGGAAGAACAAAUUUGUUAGUAACUGAACAAGUCUUGACGGUACCUAACCAGAAAGCCACGGCUAACUACGUGCCAGCAGCCGCGGUAAUACGUAGGUGGCAAGCGUUAUCCGGAAUUAUUGGGCGUAAAGCGCGCGUAGGCGGUUUCUUAAGUCUGAUGUGAAAGCCCACGGCUCAACCGUGGAGGGUCAUUGGAAACUGGGAAACUUGAGUGCAGAAGAGGAGAGUGGAAUUCCAUGUGUAGCGGUGAAAUGCGCAGAGAUAUGGAGGAACACCAGUGGCGAAGGCGGCUCUCUGGUCUGUAACUGACGCUGAUGUGCGAAAGCGUGGGGAUCAAACAGGAUUAGAUACCCUGGUAGUCCACGCCGUAAACGAUGAGUGCUAAGUGUUAGGGGGUUUCCGCCCCUUAGUGCUGCAGCUAACGCAUUAAGCACUCCGCCUGGGGAGUACGACCGCAAGGUUGAAACUCAAAGGAAUUGACGGGGACCCGCACAAGCGGUGGAGCAUGUGGUUUAAUUCGAAGCAACGCGAAGAACCUUACCAAAUCUUGACAUCCUUUGACCGCUCUAGAGAUAGAGUCUUCCCCUUCGGGGGACAAAGUGACAGGUGGUGCAUGGUUGUCGUCAGCUCGUGUCGUGAGAUGUUGGGUUAAGUCCCGCAACGAGCGCAACCCUUAAGCUUAGUUGCCAUCAUUAAGUUGGGCACUCUAGGUUGACUGCCGGUGACAAACCGGAGGAAGGUGGGGAUGACGUCAAAUCAUCAUGCCCCUUAUGAUUUGGGCUACACACGUGCUACAAUGGAUAAUACAAAGGGCAGCGAAUCCGCGAGGCCAAGCAAAUCCCAUAAAAUUAUUCUCAGUUCGGAUUGUAGUCUGCAACUCGACUACAUGAAGCUGGAAUCGCUAGUAAUCGUAGAUCAGCAUGCUACGGUGAAUACGUUCCCGGGUCUUGUACACACCGCCCGUCACACCACGAGAGUUUGUAACACCCGAAGCCGGUGGAGUAACCUUUUAGGAGCUAGCCGUCGAAGG